CAGGUUUGUUUCGUUUAAAGGAGGAUGCAAUUUUUUGCCCGUGAAUGCAUUUUCUCAAAAUGCUUUGGCUUCAUUCCCCCUUUGGUAGAGAAUAUCAACGGAUUUGCUAAUAGAACCUAGUCCAGAAACGUCCAGGGUGUCAGAUCAAAUCCAAGCAACAAAGCUUCGCCAGAGAAAACUCGCGGGGAGCUCGGCCUCUGUCAGUAAAGUCCCCGAGGAUCGCCCGCGGCGUCCAGUUCCUCGUCCGGAACGACCCUUCCCUGCACCUCUAAGAAGUGCGGGUCCGCGUCUGAUUUUUUGCCCCCGAACCAGACAAUG
Molecule: long non-coding RNA, 318 nt
Filed under: Canis lupus dingo (dingo)
Lineage: Eukaryota; Metazoa; Chordata; Mammalia; Carnivora; Canidae
Description: lncRNA (ENSCAFG00020006219.1)
Source: RNAcentral